This 372-nucleotide ribosomal RNA is filed under the name uncultured bacterium. RNAcentral describes it as "bacterial SSU rRNA". It matches the Rfam family "Bacterial small subunit ribosomal RNA", at positions 525 to 896 of the family's 1533-position model. The record is from RNAcentral.
GGGGGGGGGGCAAGCGUUGUUCGGAAUUACUGGCGUAAAGGGCUCGUAGGUGGCCAACUAAGUCAAACGUGAAAUCCCCAGGCUUAACCUGGGAACUGCGUCUGAUACUGGAUGGCUUGAAAUCGGGAGAGGGAUGCAAAAUUCCAGGUGUAGCGGUGAAAUGCGUAAAUAUCUGGAGGAAUACCGGUGGCGAAGGCGGCAUCCUGGACCGACAUUGACGCUGAGGAGCGAAAGCUAGGGGAGCAAACGGGAUUAAAUACCCCGGUAGUCCUAGCCCUAAACGAUGAAUGCUUGGUGUGGCGGGUAUCGAUCCCUGCCGUGCCGAAGCUAACGCAUUAAGCAUUCCGCCUGGGGAGUACGGUCGCAAGGCUG